Molecule: non-coding RNA, 138 nt
Organism: Malus domestica (apple)
Lineage: Eukaryota; Viridiplantae; Streptophyta; Magnoliopsida; Rosales; Rosaceae
Source: RefSeq, a predicted model, not a curated record
AUUUGCUGCUUGGGGAAUUGAUUAUUUGAAGUAUGAUAACUGUAAUAAUGAUGACUCCAAGCCAACUUUUAGGUACCCUGUAAUGACCCAAGCUCUGAUGAAAGCAGGUCAUCCCAUAUUCUUUUCUCUUUGUGAAUG